RNAcentral lists this ribosomal RNA (254 nucleotides) under uncultured bacterium. Its description in RNAcentral is "partial 16S ribosomal RNA". It matches the Rfam family "Bacterial small subunit ribosomal RNA", at positions 524 to 776 of the family's 1533-position model. The record is from RNAcentral.
GACAGAGGGUGCAAACGUUGUUCGGAAUUACUGGGCGUAAAGCGCGCGUAGGCGGCUUUGUAAGUUAGAGGUGAAAGCCCGGAGCUCAACUCCGGAACUGCCUUUAAAACUGCAUCGCUUGAAUCCAGGAGAGGUGAGUGGAAUUCCGAGUGUUAGAGGUGAAAUUCGUAGAUAUUCGGAAGAACACCAGUGGCGAAGGCGGCUCACUGGACUGGUAUUGACGCUGAGGUGCGAAAGCGUGGGGAGCAAACAGG